Molecule: transfer RNA, 74 nt
Filed under: Alphaproteobacteria bacterium
Lineage: Bacteria; Pseudomonadati; Pseudomonadota; Alphaproteobacteria
Description: tRNA-Gln
Rfam family: tRNA
About the family: Transfer RNA (tRNA) molecules are approximately 80 nucleotides in length. Their secondary structure includes four short double-helical elements and three loops (D, anti-codon, and T loops).
Source: RNAcentral
UGGGGCGUGGCCAAGCGGUAAGGCAGCAGGUUUUGGUCCUGCGAUCCCAGGUUCGAAUCCUGGCGCCCCAACCA